RNAcentral lists this ribosomal RNA (277 nucleotides) under uncultured prokaryote. RNAcentral's name for it is "partial 16S ribosomal RNA". It matches the Rfam family "Bacterial small subunit ribosomal RNA", at positions 524 to 801 of the family's 1533-position model. The record is from RNAcentral.
UACGUAGGGGGCUAGCGUUAUCCGGAUUUACUGGGCGUAAAGGGUGCGUAGGCGGUCUUUCAAGUCAGGAGUGAAAGGCUACGGCUCAACCGUAGUAAGCUUUUGAAACUGUAAGACUUGAGUGCAGGAGAGGAGAGUGGAAUUCCUAGUGUAGCGGUGAAAUGCGUAGAUAUUGGGAAGAACACCGGUGGCGAAGGCGGCUUUCUGGACAGUAACUGACACUGAGGCACGAAAGCGUGGGGAGCAAACAGGAUUAGAUACCCUGGUAGUCCCUGAG